GCCUGAUGCAGCAACGCCGCGUGAGGGAUGACGGCCUAAGGGUUGUAAACCUCUUUUAGCAGGGAAGAAGCGAAAGUGACGGUACCUGCAGAAAAAGCGCCGGCUAACUACGUGCCAGCAGCCGCGGUAAUACGUAGGGCGCAAGCGUUAUCCGGAAUUAUUGGGCGUAAAGAGCUCGUAGGCGGUUUGUCGCGUCUGCUGUGAAAUCCCGAGGCUCAACCUCGGGUCUGCAGUGGGUACGGGCAGACUAGAGUGCGGUAGGGGAGAUUGGAAUUCCUGGUGUAGCGGUGGAAUGCGCAGAUAUCAGGAGGAACACCGAUGGCGAAGGCAGAUCUCUGGGCCGUAACUGACGCUGAGGAGCGAAAGGGUGGGGAGCAAACAGGCUUAGAUACCCUGGUAGUCCACCCCGUAAACGUUGGGAACUAGUUGUGGGGUCCAUUCCACGGAUUCCGUGACGCAGCUAACGCAUUAAGUUCCCCGCCUGGGGAGUACGGCCGCAAGGCUAAAACUCAAAGGAAUUGACGGGGACCCGCACAAGCGGCGGAGCAUGCGGAUUAAUUCGAUGCAACGCGAAGAACCUUACCAAGGCUUGACAUAUACGAGAACGGGCCAGAAAUGGUCAACUCUUUGGACACUC
This 637-nucleotide ribosomal RNA is filed under the name Microbacterium sp. So2Pt_137. RNAcentral describes it as "bacterial SSU rRNA". It matches the Rfam family "Bacterial small subunit ribosomal RNA", at positions 381 to 1029 of the family's 1533-position model. The record is from RNAcentral. Lineage: Bacteria; Bacillati; Actinomycetota; Actinomycetes; Micrococcales; Microbacteriaceae.